GAUGAACGCUGGCGGCGUGCCUAAUACAUGCAAGUCGAGCGAACAGACGAGGAGCUUGCUCCUCUGACGUUAGCGGCGGACGGGUGAGUAACACGUGGAUAACCUACCUAUAAGACUGGGAUAACUUCGGGAAACCGGAGCUAAUACCGGAUAAUAUAUUGAACCGCAUGGUUCAAUAGUGAAAGACGGUUUUGCUGUCCCUUAUAGAUGGAUCCGCGCCGCAUUAGCUAGUUGGUAAGGUAACGGCUUACCAAGGCAACGAUGCGUAGCCGACCUGAGAGGGUGAUCGGCCACACUGGAACUGAGACACGGUCCAGACUACUACGGGAGGCAGCAGUAGGGAAUCUUCCGCAAUGGGCGAAAGCCUGACGGAGCAACGCCGCGUGAGUGAUGAAGGUCUUCGGAUCGUAAAACUCUGUUAUUAGGGAAGAACAAAUGUGUAAGUAACUAUGCACGUCUUGACGGUACCUAAUCAGAAAGCCACGGCUAACUACGUG
RNAcentral lists this ribosomal RNA (497 nucleotides) under uncultured bacterium. RNAcentral's name for it is "partial 16S ribosomal RNA". It matches the Rfam family "Bacterial small subunit ribosomal RNA", at positions 28 to 507 of the family's 1533-position model. The record is from RNAcentral.